CGCGACCUUGAAGACCAUAUUUCAUUGGUGUAGACGUUGGCACAGCAAGUGUGAGAGCUGGAAUUUUUGAUCAAACCGGCCGAUUGCUGCAAAAUGCGACCCACGAGAUAAAGAUUUGGAAUCCAAAAGGAACGAAAGGCGAUUUUUAUCAACAGUCAUCUGAUGAUAUUUGGGAAUCUUGCUGCAAAGUCAUU
Long non-coding RNA from Daphnia pulicaria, 194 nucleotides. RefSeq lists it as uncharacterized. NCBI's taxonomy places the organism in Eukaryota, Metazoa, Arthropoda, Branchiopoda, Diplostraca, Daphniidae. The record is from RefSeq and is a predicted model, not a curated record. The transcript is spliced from 2 exons.